AAAAAAAAAAAAAAAAGUCUAGCAAAUUAAUGCAUAUAAACUUUGUCAAUGAUCAUGAAUGAUAAAAAUUAAAAUUAGUAAAUAAAAAUAGAUAAAAAAAUAAAAUAAAUUGAAAUCGAUAAUAUUGUUGUCGACUCAAAAUUCAUCAUUUCCUAAAUAAUAAAAUAUGAAAGUAAAUCAGAUGGGUAAAUAAAAUGAAAAAUAACAAAAAUAAAUAUUGUUAUAAAAUAAACUUAAAAAAUAAAAGAAGAGAAGAAAAUAAAAUAAAAUAAAAAAAUAACUUAAUUAUUUGUUUUCUCUUUAUUAAUUCAUAAACAUUUAUUUAUAGAUUAAGAAGUAAUACGAGUGUUUGAAAUAUCGGAAAAUUUCGGCGAUAUUUCUCCGAAAUUUCGCUUAUCGGCCGGCCCAGACACGAUAUUCGUCACCGAUUAUCGGUCGAUUAAAUUUCGGUAAUUUUUCGGGAACAUCGCCAAUCGGUAUUUAUCGGUCUCUUUACCGAUUUUUCGGGAAAUUUCCCGAUAUCUCCUACCAGUCCAGCCUACGCACAGGAUACAAAAUCUGUCCUUUUUUUUAAAUAAAAUAAGAUACUAUUUGGUAAUCUGAUCAUUAUUUGCAGGCAAAGGUUGUGUUUUUCAGCCUGGCUCAAAAAUCGUGGAUUUAGGGUUCGUGAAAUUUAAAUCCAGUGGCAUAAAAGCAAAGAGACCCCUAGAACAGAUCCAGAAAACACAGGGAGUAAAAAAAAAACAGCAAUUUUUUUGGUUUUCCUUGGGGGUUUCGCAUGGAUUUUCUCGGAAAUUAAACGAGGAUGAAUUUUCCCGGAAAUCAAAUGGGGGAUGGAUUCUCUUGGGAAUCAAACGGGGGUUGCAAAAUAAUAAUAAUAAUAAUAACAUCAUUAGAUUAGUACCUGCGAGGAUCAGGCGUGGCAGAGGAAAAUAGGGCCUUUUUAGGGAUUCUCUCGUCUGGACGGCAACUUCAGACGAGGGCUUCUUGAUGCCUCGAGUGACAGAAGUGGGUGGCCUUUUUAGUUUUAGAUUUGGUAGAGAUAAAAAAAAAAAAAAGGAAACAAAUCAUAAGAACAAUUUUCCUCGAUAUAAAUAAUCAUUAAUUAUUAAUUAUUAAUUAUUCAUCUUAUUUUUAUUAAAUAAAAAUUUCAAUGAUUUACUUUACAGUCGGGCUUGGGUUCAAUCCCUAGCUAGCAUUGGACUAUGAUACUCUUUAAUAAUAUAUGUCAAAUUUAAAUUUGUUAAGGUUAAUCAUUAAAAAAAACCUAAUUCUAUUUUUUUAUUUUAAAUUAUAUUUAAUUGAUUAAUAAAAUAUAAAAAUCAAUAUUAUAAUUUUUUUAAUAAGUCUUUUUUUUUACAUUAUUUAUAUGAUAAUUAAAUAUUAAAAAAAUCAUAUAUAUAUAUAUAUAUAUAUAUAUAUAUAUCAUUUAUUUCACACUAUUAAAUGUAUUUAAAUCAAAUAAAUUAUGAUUUUAAUAUUAAAUAUAUCAUAAUUUAUCUCAUUAAUCUUAUUCUAAAAAAUUACUAUCACUUCACUUUUAAAUUUUUUAUAUUUAUCCUUUUAAUUUUGAAUGUUUUAUUUUAAAAUAUUAAAAAUAUAAAUUUAUUUUUUAAAAAAAACUAAAAUAUAAAUAAUAAUGAUGAUAAUAAAGUUCUAAUAUUUUAUAAAUUAAAAUUAAUUUGAUAAGAUAAAUAAUAAAUUAUAUAUUAAGACUGAUAUAUUCUUGUAUAUAGAUAUUUUUCUUCGUAACAAUAUCUAUGUCAAUUACAUUUAUAAAAUAACUUUAACCAUGUGAAUUUUUAUUUAUUUUAUAGUUUUUUUCAAAUAUUUUCAAGAAUUUUAAAUAAUUUUUACUUUGCCGAUAUUUUUGUCAAAAUAUCCACCAAUAUUUCUCCAAUAUUUUUUUAUAUAUCCAUAAAAUCCAAGUACCGAUAUAUCUGUAUUUACCGAUAUUUCAAACCUUGGUAAUACCAAUGUGGUAAGAGUACAAAUAUGGUAAUAGUGUUGUUAUCCAUUAAUUAUAAAAAAUAUUUAUAAUAUUUCCUUGAAUGACAACCAUUUUUAGAAUAUAUCUUAUUAAAAAAAAUCUAUGAAAAAAAUUCUAAUAAAAGAAAAAGAGUAUAAUAUUUUUUUUAAACUAUUACAACUAUUUUGUUAAAAACUUUAUCAGUAAAUCACAAUGGGACAAAACUUGAAUAAAGAUAAAAAAGAGUAUGAUGUAGUAACAUCUUUAUUUAUCUAUUCCCUUCAUAUUGAUAUGAUUAUAUUUUCUCUAUUAGUUUUGCAUGAAGAUCAUUGAAUCACCGCAUUCCAAUGUUAUGUAUAAGUUUCUUGAGUGUGAUAGUUGAUAAUAUUUUUGUAAAUAGGUUUACUAAAUUGUUGCUUAAUUUUACUUAUUGAACAUUAAUUUCAUCGCUCUUUUAGAGUUCAUGGUGUAAAACAACUAUAUGCUUAGUUCUAUCACUCUUAGUGUAUCCUUCUUUAAUAUGUGCAAUGCAUGUGACAUUAUUUUCAUGUAGCAUUGUCAAAUUGUCUUUAACGGGAGAUAGUACGCAUGAUUCUCAAUAUAUAUUGGAUUAUAAAUCUCAACCACACACAUUCCCAACUUCCUUAUGAUUUGCAAGUUUCUUUGAAUAAUUUGAAGAAAUAGUUAUCAUUAUCAACUUCAAUAGAAUCCAUUUAAGAAGGUGACAACUUAAUAUACCAACCAAUAGCUAAUACUUACUCCAUCCCUUUAACUCUAAUUUCUUUGAGUUAGUGCAAAACUACAUCCUUCUAGUAAAUUCACAGAAAAUGGUUUGUUAGACCUUGUACAAUUUGUAAGAUAUAGUAAAGCAUCAAUUGUACUAAGAUAUGUCACUUUUAAUUCAAACAAUUCUUCAUUAUCUUCUUUAAGAUGAAAUAAAUCGUUAUUCACUUCAAGUGAACGAACAACCAUAUGGGAGUUAAUGGAUGUAAUUUAUCCAUGUGAGUCUGUAUAUGUUGAUUGAUGAACUAACACUCUACUUAGAAAGUGCUUGAUCAACAAGUCAAGACAAAGUUUUGUUUUAUUAUAUCUUUUAUUUCAAAUUCAAUUUUUAGAUAGUUAAAUGUUCUUGUGAGCUCUUUAGGAAUUCCAACAAGAUUCAAAUUAUCCUCAUACGCUACAAUAAUUAUGAUUUGGUUGUUCAUUUCUUAAUGAAUACACAUGAGCAAAUAAGAUUAUACACAUAUUUUUCCUUCAAUAAAUAUUCAUUGAGACGAUUGUAUCACAUGCAUUUGGAUUACCUAAUCCAAAUAAGGAUUUUUGUAGCUUAUUAUAUAGAUGUUACAAGGUAAAUUAUGUGUUCUCGACAUCUUACAUCCUUAAGGGCUUUAUUUGCUUCAACAUUUUAAAUCCUUUCAGGACCUGGUUGCUUCAUGUACUUGAAUCCUUUAGGGAUUUUAACAUGUUUAUGGAUCCAUAUUAUAUAGUGCAUAUUAAGUCCUUUAGGGAUGACUAAUCUUGAUAGUUAGGAAUAUGAUUGAGUCAUUACAAGAGUCAAUAGAAGAUUUCUAUAGGAAACCUUAUGUUAUAAUUUUUUAUUAUCUCAAAUACAUUUUUGUUAUGAUAACUCAUUUGCAUAUAGUAAUUUUAACGUCUUUCAAAUGUUUUAGAUUUCAAGUGCAUUUAUAUCCAAUAGACUCUACGUCUUCCAACAUAUAAACUACAAGUCCAAAUACUCCUCAUUUUGUCAACAAAUCUAGUUGGUUGUAUUGCAUAUUCCAUUUUGCCUAUUUAUUUCUAUGUCGGCAUUCUUGCACAAUUCAUGAUUUGGAAUCUUUAUCAUUUCUCAUGAUGUCAAAGGUCAUUUAAAAUGAGACAAAUGCAUUUUUAAUGACAACAUUAUUUUGAUAUCAUCUUCCUCAUGUCAUAUACAUAACUAAUAAGGAUCUCUUUAGGUAUCUAUGCUUUUUUGGGGGCCAUUUGUCCAACUUGUACUUCUUUAGGAGCUACUUGUUCAAUAUGUGCCUCAUUAAGGGCUUUUUGUUCCAUUUGUGUCUCUCUAAGGGUUACUUAGGACUCAUUAGUCAUUUUGUGGUCUUUUUAAGAGUACCAAGUUUUCAAGUGUUUUCCUCUUUUAGGAAUUACAUCCCAUGAGUUGAUAAGUCUAUUAUGCUUCAGGUGUACCUUAGAUUUAUUUUUUGUUAUAAUAGUUGUUUGUCCUACCAAAACAUAAAUUUAUCACACUUUAAGUAUGUUUUAGAUUUAUUUGUUGGAAUACUAGUUAAUUAUCCUUCAAAGAUAUCAAAUAAUAUUUGCUUGUAUCAUAAUAAAAAAGAAAACUUUGUAAGAAAUUUUAGGUUGUUCUUUUAGAAUAAAUUUUUGUUCCCUUAAUAGCAAGAAAAUUGUCUCAUCAAAAUGAUAAUAUACACAAUAUGUAAUACUACCUAUUCAAGUGUAUAGAUAGACUAGUCACUAGAUAAAAUUUUUUGGUUUUAUAAUCUAAGUCCAUAUGACUUUAUAACGAGUUGAUGCAUCAUUGUUUAUCCUAGGGGACCAAGUCGAUUGUGCAAGAUUCUUCUAGGUCUAGUAUAGUACAAAGUGUCAUUUACAUGGAAUCAAAUGCUAUUAGUGACAUAGUAUGAGCUCUUCUAUAGUCUUUAAUCAAGUUUUCAUUGUCUGAUAUAAUAUUAUUAUCAUUUGUUAUCAAUGUUGUACAAUUAAUAAGACAAGAGUUUCAUCAAAAUGAUAACCCAUAAAACAUGUCAUAAAAACAUCUCCCUUAUAGGGUUGAAAAAAUCACAUUAUAGAGGAAGAGUUAAAAUCAAUAGAAAAACACUUGUCACCGAUGAUGAUCUUAGCUUAAUAAGUUAUGUAAAAGCAAUGGGAACAUAUAUAACAUAACAAAAAAAUAUGGAAGAGAGAAUUUAGAGUUAUAUAUGUAGGGAAUACUUGGAUUUCUCCAUUCUUAUCCCUAAACCAAUUAAGGUGCAUGUAAAUCUCCCUAGGCUUCUCUAGAUCCUAAGCAUUGAGGAAAACAUAGUAUAAAAAACCAACCAAGAUCUAGAGAAUAGUGAUUUACCUCAAAUCUAGAGGUUCGGAAAAGGUUUAUCGAAGGUGUGGUAGUCAUAGUAGAUUUCACAAACUCAAUGAUCUUCUAUUACAAUGUCUCUCUACUUUGAUCCUAAUACUAGAGGGGUGGAAUCCUCUAAGGUUGGUGACUAGAACUCUCCCUCUCUAGAGUGAAUAUAAUGCAAGACUAAAGCCUUAACCUCUAAGGAGGUUAUUUAUAGGCUUCUAAUAGGCUUAAGUGACUUGAACCCAUUUAUAGAGUUUGGUCACUUAUGUUGGGAUAGAACCCUAGAAAGUAUGACAUGAUGUAACAAAUUGAGAUUCACUAAUAAAUCUAUUUAUUUACGUUUUUGGUUCCCUUUAUUAUCCCUUAUGGAUUAAUUGGUUAACUAAGUAUUCACACCCAUAUCAUUUGCAUUGUACAUGACCUGAGUGCAUUAGGAGUUACAUAGAAGAUCCAAGUCAUGGGUUCUUUGUAAGAUGAUAAGUAGUUCAUAGUUGGUUCAUGACUUUGUCAAUCCAGUAGAAAUUGUAGUGCAUUAUUUCUCACAAGGAAUGACUAGCUCUACCUAAAUUAGUUUCUUUGAAACUAGUUACUAGAUCCAAAUUAUCAUGUUGAGUUCAAAUGAUUAAUUGAGCUUUGUUUAUGUGAGAAAGAGAGUGAUAAUAAAGAAUAUACAUGAUAUUUGUAACAAAGAAAAUGACCAUGCAUAUGUCAUAAUUGAGCAUUCAAGGCAUAACAAAAGUUUAGCAAAAAUGUAAAGCUCUUAUGGUUAUAUAUCUUUUUGCAAGGUAUCCUAAUAUCAUAAGAAUCAAGCUUAUGGUGGGCAGAUCAUGACCUUAUUACUAUUUAGAGAUCCUCUCAGAUUGAUCUCCUAGAUUUAAACAAGAAAGGUAUCUAAAGACAAGAUCAACAUACUUUUUCUUUAGCCCAUGGACUAUGCAAAUGGGAUCAUGGUGGGCGAUUCGACCACUUUAUAUCCAAUGCUAAGUGUAUAACCAUUAUCCUUGAACUAUCAGUGUUACCAAGUAAGGACAAUGGUGGGGUGGUUGCUCCCACUAUAGACAUAUCUAGUCUCGUCUUAAAAGUCUAUAUCCCUUAAUUCUUAGGGUACAACCCAUCGAUGGGGUGGUGAUAAACCCAAAUCAAGAUGAGCUUGAAAAUGGAGGUCGUGGGCUAACCUAGGGCCCUCUCCCACUUAAUAUUUUGAAAUAAAUAAGAGCAUUUUAAAUCCUUAAUAAUUACCUUGAUGAAUAAAUUAUCUACUUUGAGAAUUUCUUAAAAUAUUUAUUUCCUAAUUGGAAACCUAGUAUAAUAGGAGAAUGUGCAUAUGAAAAUUUUAAAAUUUUCAUGAGAGUAUUUUUCAAAAAUAAAUUUUGAUAAAUUAUCUACUCCUAAAUUUAAAAACCAUUUUCAUAAAAUUCUUCUUCUCUUACACAAAUCCAAUUAAUAAAUAUUUUAUUUAAGAAAUGUCUUCAAAGAAAUUUAUUUCCAACAAAAUACUAAUUAUCCUUUUGGUAAUAACCUUUUGAUAAUAAAUUAUCUCUAAUAAAAUUUUCAUAAUAUUUAUUUUCAAAUUGGAAACUUUAGUGUAAUAAGGAAAUUACCAAUGUAUGAGAUUUUGAAAAUCUUGAGAGCACCUUAUCCAAGAAGGGAACUUCAGCUUUUAUAUUCAAAAUCUUGGCAUUUUAUAUCUAAGCAAUGAAAGCAAUACCAAUUUUCACAAAAAAAAAAAAAAUUGAUCUUUAGGGUUAAAGUACUAACCUUUAGGUUUAGAUGUUCCCAAACCUUAAAUCCAAGUAUUGAAUAAUCAAAUCAAUGUCGUCAAAAGUCUCAUAAACCCAUGAUAUUUCACCCGAUGACUUUUCCUUAAUCUUGGCAUACUUCCGAUGGGAAGGAGGGUAAGAAGAGAGGGUGGAGACUAUGAUUCUCUUUCUUUCCGGAGGUGGAAGACAAUUCUAUGAAAAAGCUCUAGAAACCCUAAUCCCUCAUAGGGUAUUUAUAGGGUUCCCCAUUAGACUAAAGUGACAUGAACCCAUUAAGGGUUUGAGUCACUUAAUUUAAACCAAAAUUGGUCAUAAUUGAUUAAUUAACCCAAAAUGGCCUACUAAUUAAUCAAUUAACCUAACCUAGAGACCUUGUUCACUUACUGCUAUGCAACUUUAAGUAAUUAUCAAAAUGCCCUUAUGCACAAAAGCGAACCUAUGGUCAAUCCAACCCUUAUAAACUGUACUAACAAGGUACAUUGCCUCAAGUGGAGACCAUUAGACCCAUAAGACAGUGCCGACUCACUCAAAAUCUAAUUAUAAAGUUGAUUCAACAUUCGACUAUAGAGAAUCAACUACACUUCAGUUCUUUACAUAAAUAAUAACGAGACACUAAGUGCUUGGGUUUGUGACUUGCAAUCUAUUGUGUUUACUCUCCAUAAAUUGGUGAUUGUAGUCUAACAAGGUGAAAACUAUCAGCCUUUUAAGACUACCUCUACUAUCCUUGAGUUUCAUAUCCUACUAUUGUGUGUUCAAUUGACAUGUUUUAAUUCUCAAAUGAGCUAUGUCAAGUUCCACUUAAGAAACUACUAUGAUCAUAAUUUACAUGAACAUAUCUGCUUAGGAUCACCUAAGAGAUCACUCUGUCUCAAUUCCAAGAGAUAUCAUGGUGCCUCUAUUGAGAAUACCUAUUGCUAUUGACUUCCAUCAAUAGUGAGCUAAUCUAUAAUAAAUAUAUGAUGAACUUACAAUCUCAUCUGUAGGUCAAAGCUACUGCUAACUUUAGCAUAAGCUCAACAUUCUCUCAAGAUUAAGAAACAAUACAAUGAAGCAACUUAUUGAAGUCAUGACUACUUGAUAGCCUUAAGUCAUGACUCACUGUAGGUCUUAUCCAAUAUGUAACCAUGCACACUAGUAAACUUAUCAGGGGAAACUCCUCUCGAUGGCCAAUACCAGUCAUCUCUUCAAUUAGAAGGUAGUGCAUUAUAGCCUCAAAUGGAUUACAUAAGUCCACGAAUCGGUUGUGAGAAAUCAUUUAUUUACAAGGAACCCAUGACUUGAAUAUUUUGUGGAACUCCUAAUGCACCCAAGUCAUGUACAAAGUAAAUGAUGCUGAGUGAGAAUGCUCAUAAAGUACAAUGCAUGAAAUAAGGAUAGAUAAAAGUGAAACCAGACUAUCAUUAAAUAAAUAAUGAAUUUCAAAUCUGUCACAUCAUGUCAUGCUUUUAAAAACCCUAUCUUAACACAAAAUUCCUCACAAAUUUAAUUUCCUAAUUUCUUACACUUUUCUAAUUUAAUAAAUAUUCUCAUGGAAUCUAAUUUUUAUGAUAAUUUACUCCAUUAAAAAAUUACCAAAAAUAUAACCUUUAGGUAAUUCCUUAAUGGAUAAAAUAUUCUCUAUGAAAAACUUCCAAAAAUGUUAAUUUCCUUAAAAAGAAUUAAACAAUCCAUUUCGAAAAAUAUUUUCAAAAUCUUUUAUAUCUCUAUUAAAUUACUAAACUUUCUAGAAAUAUUUUGGUAACCUUUCUUAUUGUAAAUUCUCUAUUAUGAGAUUUUUCAAAUCCAUUAUUUACCUUUUAAACUAAAACUCCUAUGCUAAAAGAAUUACUCUCUUAUUCCUUAUCUUUGGAAUAUUCAUAUCCAAACUAAGUGGUUUCCUCAUUUUCUCAAGGAAGAAGAGCUUAAAGGACCCUCAUAAGUGUAGUUCUCCUUCUUUUAGUGGGGGAGAUGAGAGUUGGGAGAACCACUUAUACUAUAACUAAAAUGAUAGUUCCAAAAGGAAUAACAUUUUUCUUAGCAACAAUCAGUUUAUAAAUAAUCUUAAAAAAAUCUUCUCAUGAAAAUUUACUAAGAAUACCAAAACAUUUUUCUUUUAGGUUUUAACACUUAUUUUGGUAACCUACUUAAUUAUAAAUUAUCUAUCAUGAAUUUUCAAAAUUAACUUAUUUUCUUUAAAUCAAAAUCUUGUGCAAAGAAAAGGAAAAAUAUUAUUUCAUAAAGAUUUGGAAAAUUAAAACCUUUUCCUUAAAAGAAAGAUUUUAUUAUUAGAAAUCUCAAAAAAUUGAGAAGAUUUUAAAUAAAAUUAAAAUAUCUAAAAAUUAAUUUUAAAAAGGUAAGAAACCUCUUAAUCCUUUUCCAACAUAUCUUUUCUUAAAACAAAAUUUCCUAAUCAUGCAUAUUUCAAUUUAAAUAAGUUUUCCAAUUUUAAAAAUUCAUGAUAAAUUAUUUUAAAUUAAGAAUACCAAAGUAUCUUAAGGCCACAUAUGCAAUUAAUAAAGAUAACAUAAAAUAACAAGUAAGGAAAUAAUUAAAUAAAUCUUUUCCAUGGCUUUUAGGGAUCUUGUUGUAUAUUUGGUAAUUAAAAUUUGGGCAAAAUCUAAAUUACAAAAAUAACCCUAAAACUAAAGAUUUAGUAAAAAUUGAAAAAACCCUAAAAGACCCAUUUAUUGCCAAAAAAUGAACCCAAAAAGAGGCUUAAAUAGGAGAUGAAUAGGAAAAACCCUGCAAAACAAUAUGAGUAUAUCCUAGAAUAGAUCUAGCAUACAAGAACCUAUCCUAGGGUUUUGAUACCAUUUGUUGGGAACCCCGAAUUACUUUGUUCCUUGGCUCUGGAUCUUCUAGGGUGCAUACAUCUAUCCUAGGCUUCUCUAAACCUAACACGAUGGAAACAAAUGGCAAUAAAAACCAUUUUUAUCAUAGAUCCAAAGAUUUGAAACUCAUACUUGUGAUCUUGAUGUUCCUAGAUUGAAUUCCAUCUAAUGAAGAUGUUGAGGAAUAUUCCAAAAUCGUAGAAAACACUAUGGAGAUUAUCUACCCAAUGUUCUUCGAUCCAACUCUUUCUCCAUAGGUCUUGGUAGAAGAGAAAGGUGGGCUUCGCUUUAUCUCUAAAGGAUGGUUAGGGUUCCUCUCUCUGGAAGGUAAUGGUGAAAAUAGCAAAAGCCUAAACCCUAAAUCCUCAAGGAGGUUUAUAUAGGGCUCUUUGUGGUCUUAAGUGACCUAAGUCUAAAUUGGGUUUGGGUCACUUAAUCUAGCCUACUUGGAUCCUAAUUAAUUAAUUAACCUUAAUGAGAUCCAAUUAAUUAACUAACCCAACUAGAAAGUCAAUUUAUAAGAUUUAAUGUAAUCUUGUGUUUUUAUCAAAAUUCCCUAAUGCACACUUAUGAAUUAUAUACCCAAAAUACCCUUAAAGUAUGUACCACUGAAAUAAGAGUUCGAGUAAGGACUAUUGGGACUCAUAGAAAAAUACUAGCUCUUUUAGAAUUUAAUUUUGAAGUUGACUCAACACUCCACUAAAGAAAGUCAACUGCACUCUAGUAUCCUAUGAAAUUAUAACGAGCAUAGCUUAGAUCCUUGACCUGCUAUUCAUUGCACAUAGACUCCUCAUGAACUGAUGUUUGUAAUCUAAAAAGACAUUGCUAUAAACCCAUCGACAUUACCUUUUCAAUCCUUAAGUUAUAGAUCCUUCUAUUAUGUGAUCAAUUGACAUACUUUAACUCCAAGGAGCAUAUGUCAAAUUCUACAAAAAGGAAUUAGUGUAGCCAAAGAUUUCAUGAUAACAUGUCCUUUAGAUCAUCCAAGGGGAUGCACCGUCUCAAUCCCAUGAGAUAUCACAAUGCCUCUAUUGAGAAUACUUAUUGCCAUCAACUUCUAUUAACAACAACCUAAUUCGUAGGGAAUAAAUGAUCACUUUAGGGUCUCACCCAUAGGUCAAAGUUUCUUAUUGAUUUCAGUAAAGCUUAAUAUCCUCUCAAGGUUGAGAGUCUAUGCAACCCAUUACCUUGGUGAAUCAUGACAAUUUGAUAGCCUUACAUCAUGAUUCACCAUAGGUCUUAUGUCCAAUGUGUAACAAUAUACACUAUUGUACUUACCAUGAGAACCCCAUCUCAACGACCAAGACAAACCAUUCCUCUAAUUAGGAGAUAGUGCACUAUAGUCUUUAUUGGAUUGCCUAAAUCCAUGAAUUGACUAUGAACAAUUUAUCAUCUUGCAAGGAACCCAUGACUUGUAUCAUCUGUGUAACUCCUAAUGCACCCAAAUCAUGUAUAAUGCAAGUGAUAUACGUUGAGUAUUCAAAUAAAUGUCAAUACAUAAACGGGAUAUCAAAGGGACAGUCAAGUCUAACUUCGUUACAUCCUGUUUUGCUUUUAGAGGCUCAAUCUUAACAUAGAGGCAGAUCUAGAUAAGAUCAAAUUCAUCCUCAACAUGCCUGCACCAAAGAUACAAAAUGAGAUUAGAGGUUUUUUUGGGAGGUUACAAUAUAUUAGCAGAUUUAUAGCUCAGUUGAUUGAUAUUUGUGAGUCUAUUUUUAGAUUGUUGAGAAAAAGUCAACUAACUAUUUAGGAUAAUGCCUGCCAAAAGGCAUUUGAGAGGAUUAAGGUAUAUUUAUUGAAGCUAUCGGUUUUAAUACCUCCAAUCCCAGGUCACCCAUUGUUAAUAUAUUUCUUUGUGAUGCAUAUUGCUUUUUUGGGUUGUAUGCUUACUCAACAUGGCAACGCUAAAAAUCAGCAAGUCAUUUAUUAUUUAAGUAAUAAGAUGCUAGAUUAUGAGUUGCGAUAUGUGAUGAUUGAGAGGAUGUGUUUGGCACUAGUCUAGGCUACUAGAAGGUUGAAACAUUACAUGAUAGAGUAUUUAGUAUUUCUUAUUUUACGCCUUGAUCCUUGAGAUACUUAUUUCAUAGGCUUGCUAUUAUUGGGAGAUUGAUGAGAUAGGUAGUGUUACUAACUGAAUUUUAUAUCCAACAUGUGACUUAAAAAUGCGUUAAAAAGAGCAUCAUUGCAGAUUAUCUUGCUUCAUUUCCAAUAUUUGAUGAAAGAAUAGUCAAUAAUGAUUUUCUUUAUGAAGAUGUUGCAACAGAUCAUUCAAAAAAUCAAGUAAUUUAUUAGGUAAUCAAGAUAAUCAAAGUUAUAACAAAAAAAAAAAACCCCCAUAAAUAAAGAACAAUAUAAUUAACAAUCAAGUAUGUUCUCUUAGGUGAUCUUAAAGACAGGUGAUCAUAUAUUUUUAGUCCCAAUAAUUCCUAAUAAAAAGCAAUCCAAGUAAUUAUUGCAUCCCCAAUUAAAAGGAAUCACAAUUAUCACCAUCAUAUUAUAACAAUAUCAAAUAAAGAACACAUUAAUUACCCCUGAGGCCAUGGUAUGAACAAAAACUUUGCAAAACCAAGUUAGCACACCCUAGAAUGGUUCUAGCAUGAUUACUAACCUAUGGAUUUGAUACCAGUUGAUGGGAAACCCCGAAUCUCUUCAUUUCCCAAGCUCGGAUCAGGUUAGGAACAUGCAUAACUAUCCUAGGCUUUUUCUAAAUCCGAUGCACAAGAGAAAAAUAACGUUUUUAAACUUUAAAAGAAUUCAUAAAGUGCUAACAAAAACCAUACCUCAUAUUUGGAUGUUCCCGAAUCAAAUCCACAUGGUGAAGAUGAAAAUUGAAAUCCCAGAAUUGUUGUAAACCCCAAGUUUUUCGCCCAAUGACUUAAACCUUGAUCUUGGCACAUUUCUUGUGGGAAGGAAAAAAUGGUGGAGGCUAUGACUCUAUAUCUCUCUGGAUGGCAGAAGACAAAAGUUAUGGAAACCCUAACCCCUAUGGGGUAUUUAUAGGGUUCUUAAGUGGGCUUAAGUGACUUGAGCAUAUGGGCUUGAGUCACUUAAUCUAGCCUAAAAUGAGUUCUAAUUGAUUAAUUAACGCAAUAGGGCUUACUAAUUAAUCAAUUAGCCAAAUCCAGAGACCUUGUUCACUUACCCCUAUGCAACCUUACGUAAUUACCAAAACACCCUUAUGCACAAAAGUGAACCUAGAACCAAUCCGACUCUCAUAACCCAUGCCAACAAGGUAUACGCAUGGAUUGAAAAAUCGGAAAAUGUCGCCGAUAUUUCGGAGAAAUAUCGGUUAUCGGGCGGCAUCGAAACGAUAAUCGGCACCGAUUAUCGAUUGACGGAAAAAUCGGCCAAAAAUCGGCAAAAUCGCCGAUAUAUCGGCGAAAUAUCGGUGGAGGACCGAAAAAUCGGCGAAACAUCGGCGAGUGGAGCCACGCGCGGCGAAGACGGCAGAGGACAGCAAAAAAUCGGCGAUUAAUCGGUAAAAUCGGCGAUAAAUCGCCGAUUUUUUGAAAAAAUCGGCGAUUUUUUUGAAGAUUCCCUGCUUUUGAUCUGACGGCCAAUUUUGAAUUUUUGAGGAUCUGAUGGCCCAGAUUUCACCCGUGUAUGUAAAGGCCUCCAACGGUCAGAUUUGUGAUCCAAUGGUGGAAAAUCAAUCUUGACUUUAUCCAAGGGCUAUGGAGUGUUUCCAACGGUUAUAUGAAGAUCUAAUGGUGAAAUUUGAACCAAAUUUUGAUCCAACGGUUAAAAUUAAUUUAUAACGGCUAGUUUGACCAUCCAACGGCUAGUUUGACCAAAAAAAUUCCUAUAAAUACCCACAUUCCAUUUCAUUUCAUACAUCAAAAUUCUUAUAUGAUCUAGCAAAAAUUUUUUAUUUUGAAAAUUUGGUGGUGAAGGGGAUUAACUCCAAGUCAAAGGCUAAUUAAGGUAUGUCUUACCUUUUAUAAAAUUUAUUUUAUUAUGCAUAAUUAAAUUUUAUUUGUUAUAUAUAGUUUAAUUGAUAUUUUCUAAUUCAUAUGGAAAUGUAAUUGUAAUGUUUAUCUAUUUCAUAUAUGCAUAAUUCAAUUUUAAUUUUUAUUAGUAAUGAUUCUUAUCAAUUUCAUGAAUAUGCAAAUUUAAUUUAAUUUAAUUUAAUUCUUAUCAAAAUUUUAUUGUAAUGUUUAUCUAUUUCAUAUAUGCAUAAUUCAUUUUUAAUUUUAAUUUUUAUUAGUAGUGAUUCUUAUCAAUUUCAUGAAUAUGCAAAUUUAAUUUAUUUUAAUUCUUAUCAAAAUUUUAUUGUAAUGUUUAUCUAUUUCAUAUAUGCAUAAUUCAAUUUUAAUUUCAAUUUUUAUUAGUUCUUAUCAAUUUCAUGCAUAUUAAAUUUCUUACAUGUUUUAUCUUUAAUAAUUUUAAAUUUGAUAUUAGUUUCAUAAUUCAAUUUUAGAAAAUGGCUAGUGAAAGCGGUACCAUGGGUCGAGAUCCUUGUUGGAAAUAUUGUACACCUAUGGAAGGGAACAAAAAUGGAACAAUAUGCAAUUACUGUGGGUUGGCAAUAAAGAGUGGUGGGAUUACUCGUUUUAAAUUUCACCUAUCACAUACAGACCCUAAUUCAAAUACAAAAAAGUGUCCUAACGUGCCUCCAGAAGUGAAACAAGAAAUAAGACGACUUAUAGAGCAAAGAAAUAAGACAAAAGCGAAGAAAGCUGUUGAUAUAGAAGAGAUUCGAGCAGAACUGCGAGACACAAUGGGAAGAAGACAUAGGCAUUUAAUUGAUGAGGACGAUGAGGAGAACCUUGGUGGUGAUGGUGGUGGUGAUGGUGGUGGUGGUGGUGGUGGUGGUGGUGAUGAUGAUGAUGAUGGAGAUGAUGAUGUGUAUAUGUAUCCGGCUGACAUGCACCCUGAUGAGCGACAUGCUUAUAGAGAGGCGGUUCGAGCAUCAAAAGCUGCUGAAUGGAAUCGACAACAACAAGAACAUUUUAUAAAAGGCAAAAGAAAAACAGGUAUAAUAUUAAUUUGAAUUAUUACUGUUUCUUAUCAACUUUAUCAAUAAUAUUAAAUUAACAUAUAUGUUUAAUUUUAAUAAUUAUAAUAGGCGAGUCUUCACAUCCAACCAAUCCAACAACAAGGCAAAUGCGAAAAUCGCAAAGUGUUCGAUAUUCAGAUGCAUCACUGCCUGAUGCACCCUCAUUGUACAAAUCUUCAGCAGCAAGACAGAAAACUGUGAAAAAUCUUUUCAAAGGUGGUGCCAUCAAGGAAACCAUGGGACGUUUGAUCAGUAAGUUCUUCAUAUAUGAGAGUGUUCCGCCAAGUAAAGCAGACUCUCACCACUUCAAGAACAUGAUUGUUGGUGCACAACAAGCAGGUAAUUACUAUAAUUUUAAAAGUUGUAUUUAUUUGAACAAUAUCAUUACUAUUUAUAUAGUAUGAUUGACACAAAUGUUCUUAUAUGUUUUAAUUAUAUAUGGAUGGUANNNNNNNNNNNNNNNNNNNNNNNNNNNNNNNNNNNNNNNNNNNNNNNNNNNNNNNNNNNNNNNNNNNNNNNNNNNNNNNNNNNNNNNNNNNNNNNNNNNNNNNNNNNNNNNNNNNNNNNNNNNNNNNNNNNNNNNNNNNNNNNNNNNNNNNNNNNNNNNNNNNNNNNNNNNNNNNNNNNNNNNNNNNNNNNNNNNNNNNNNNNNNNNNNNNNNNNNNNNNNNNNNNNNNNNNNNNNNNNNNNNNNNNNNNNNNNNNNNNNNNNNNNNNNNNNNNNNNNNNNNNNNNNNNNNNNNNNNNNNNNNNNNNNNNNNNNNNNNNNNNNNNNNNNNNNNNNNNNNNNNNNNNNNNNNNNNNNNNNNNNNNNNNNNNNNNNNNNNNNNNNNNNNNNNNNNNNNNNNNNNNNNNNNNNNNNNNNNNNNNNNNNNNNNNNNNNNNNNNNNNNNNNNNNNNNNNNNNNNNNNNNNNNNNNNNNNNNNNNNNNNNNNNNNNNNNNNNNNNNNNNNNNNNNNNNNNNNNNNNNNNNNNNNNNNNNNNNNNNNNNNNNNNNNNNNNNNNNNNNNNNNNNNNNNNNNNNNNNNNNNNNNNNNNNNNNNNNNNNNNNNNNNNNNNNNNNNNNNNNNNNNNNNNNNNNNNNNNNNNNNNNNNNNNNNNNNNNNNNNNNNNNNNNNNNNNNNNNNNNNNNNNNNNNNNNNNNNNNNNNNNNNNNNNNNNNNNNNNNNNNNNNNNNNNNNNNNNNNNNNNNNNNNNNNNNNNNNNNNNNNNNNNNNNNNNNNNNNNNNNNNNNNNNNNNNNNNNNNNNNNNNNNNNNNNNNNNNNNNNNNNNNNNNNNNNNNNNNNNNNNNNNNNNNNNNNNNNNNNNNNNNNNNNNNNNNNNNNNNNNNNNNNNNNNNNNNNNNNNNNNNNNNNNNNNNNNNNNNNNNNNNNNNNNNNNNNNNNNNNNNNNNNNNNNNNNNNNNNNNNNNNNNNNNNNNNNNNNNNNNNNNNNNNNNNNNNNNNNNNNNNNNNNNNNNNNNNNNNNNNNNNNNNNNNNNNNNNNNNNNNNNNNNNNNNNNNNNNNNNNNNNNNNNNNNNNNNNNNNNNNNNNNNNNNNNNNNNNNNNNNNNNNNNNNNNNNNNNNNNNNNNNNNNNNNNNNNNNNNNNNNNNNNNNNNNNNNNNNNNNNNNNNNNNNNNNNNNNNNNNNNNNNNNNNNNNNNNNNNNNNNNNNNNNNNNNNNNNNNNNNNNNNNNNNNNNNNNNNNNNNNNNNNNNNNNNNNNNNNNNNNNNNNNNNNNNNNNNNNNNNNNNNNNNNNNNNNNNNNNNNNNNNNNNNNNNNNNNNNNNNNNNNNNNNNNNNNNNNNCUCAAGAAAUUUAUGCAUGGCAUGUUCGUACAUACAAUCAAUACUAUCGAAACUCCAUGUCCUGGUAUGAAUAUUGUCUUCAACAAGAUGGGCUCCCUUCAUCUAACAAUAACAAUAUGAUGGAACCACAUCGAUCUUCAUUUUGGUAUUAAGGACCAUUGCAAUGUCAUAUGUAUUAUGUUUAUGUGUAAAUUGUUUUCAUUUAAUGAAAUCAAAUAUUUCUUAACUCAAUUCUAACUUUCUAAGUGUACAAUUCCAAAUUUCAUAUUUUUUAUUCUUCAAAUCCAAGUAUCGUAAACUAUUUACCGAUAUUUUUUUCUUUGACCAUAUUUAUGUCAAUUACACUUAUAAAAUAACUUUAACAUGCAUAUUCUUGCUUAUUUUAUCAUUCUUUGGCUUUUUUUAAACAUUCCCAUCAAUUUUGGAUAAUUUUUGUCUCACCGAUAUUUGAUGAAAAAUAUCCACCGAUAUUUCUCCGAUAUUUCCGAUAUAUCCGUAAAAUCCAAGUACCGAUAUAUCCGUGUUUACCGAUAUUUCAAUCCUUGGGUAUACGAGCUCAGAGCGGGGACCAUUGGGACCCAUAGGAAUAUUUCUUUUUGAAUUUAGAACAUAAUAAAUUUUUGUUAAUAAUUUUCUAUUUGAGUUGUUUUCACUAAAUUCUCAUGAAACUACCUCUUUUCUCUCAGUGGAAUCAUUGAUAGAACUUUAUUAUAUGGUAUCAUUGAUCCUCUAUGUAUGAUAUCAUAUAGAACAUCUUUCUUAGUAACUAUGUAAGUCAACUUUGUUCCAAGUGAAUUUUUUUUGCUAUAUUUGGUUCUUGUAAAGUUUGAGGGAAAAUACAAGGAAAAAAAAAAAUAGAUAGACAAAAGUAUAAGAAAAGAAAAAGUAAAGGAAAAUAAAAAAUAAAUUUAAAGUUAAUAAAUUAUUUUUAUAUAUUAGGUCAAAUUUAUUUUACUUAUUUAACUAUUUUAUAUAAAAAAUAGUAGUUCAACACGUGUAGUAUACAUUAGUCAUGUUUGGGUAAUGUUACUUUUAUUUCUCAAUAAGUUUACCCUUAAAACUUAAUUUUCAUUCCUCAACUUUUCUAAUAUUUAACAAAAAUAUGGUUAUUGACGUAAACAAGGUUAGAUUAACAUUCCUCAACUUUUUUUUUUAUAGAGAGUAAGAGAUGAUUCAAGAAUUUGGUGAAUCCUAUAUUGGGGUUGCAUUUGUAAAGAUAUGUUCUUGAGGAAAUGUGACUUGGCUUUUUAGUGUGAUUCAUGAAAUAUAUCACAAAUUAAAAUGGUUGUUUAUGACACAUAAGUGUUAUUUUAUUUUAUUUAUUUUAAAAUUUUCAUAGUCAAUUUAUUUUAGUUAUAAUAAUUUGAUACUGCUUAAUAUUUUUAUAAUUUUUCAAGACUCCUUAAUUAAUGAAGAAGUUGUAUACUUCAUCUAAUUAAUGAAAGAUAUAUGAGAUUAAUUUUUUGUAUUGUAUAGUAAUAUUUUGUAUAUACACUUUUAAAUAUUAUUGUGUUGCAUAGAGUCAUUAGCUUAGCAAUAUAAAAGGUUGCAUAUGUUCUUGAGGAAAUAUGACUUUGUUUUUUGAGUGUGACUCAUGAGAUGUAUAAUAGCUUUGGUAUUUUUAGUGUGAUUAAUAAGAUGUAUUACAAAUUAAAAUGAUUGUGUAUAAUAGGUAAGUGUUAUUUUAUUUAUUUAUUUAUUUUUAAAAUUUGCUAUUUUACUUAUAAUAAUUUGAUAUUUUAUAAUAUUUCUAUAGUUUUUGUCGAUUAUUUGAUUAAUGAAAAGGUUGUAUAUUUCAUCCAAUUAAUGAAAGGUAUAUAAGAUUAUUUAUUCUGCAAUACUAUUUUGUAUGUAUACUUCUAAACAUUGUCAUGUAGCGUAAAAUCAUUAGCUUAGUAAUAUAAAUUUUGUAUGAUGAUCUAAUUUAAGGAAAAACAAAAUUUAAUAGCUUAAUAAUAUAACUUUUUUUUAAUUAAACUAAGAAUUUCAUUUCGUUGCACACAUGUUGCACAUUUUUUAUUUUUCCUUAAUAAAUGUUUGUCUCUCAUUUUUGACAUAAUUUUGUUUAACUUAGAUGAACAAUUAAAAUGUUAUUUGUCUUUAAUAAAGUAUUUGUCAAUUUUACUUAUAUAAUUGUGAAUAGGGUUAUGAGUUUUGAUUAUGAUAUUAGUGAUUUUUACAAACAUAUUAAAUACAAGAAAAGAUGAUAAAUGGUUUUACAUAGCAAAUAAGAAAGGGUUGACUCUGUAGCUAUUAAAUUUGCUAUUGAUGAUAGUGAACUUAUUGCUAUUUCACACCAUUAUAGCAUAAAAAUAAAUAAUCAUUCAAUUUUAAUAAUUCCUUUUACUCAACUGUUACCCAAACAAUUCCUUUGUUCUUUGUUCACAUAUUUGGGACAAAAAUUUUAUUUCCCCCAAAAAACCUAGUCACCUAGAUAUUAUAAUAAAUAAUUCCCUAUGAUUUAGUGGGCAGUUCCUAUUGUACAAUAAGGGGUAAUGUUUAUGGAUGUGUUAUGUAUGAGUUGUGAGGUAUGAUUUUACUAUUCAUAUCAAACUUGAAAUAUUCUCAUCUCACCCCAACCUUUUACCUUUUAAGUUUGGACCGUGAAAAUUUUGAUAUUUUUAACUUUAACUAAAUUUUAAAAUUUUUAUUGAGUAUUAUGUACUACUGUUAUAAUAUUAUCAUUUAGUUGAGUUUCUUGUAAAGAACCUAGAUGUAACGGAUUAUACAUCUUUACCAAAACUUGAGAAACUGCAUUGGAUAUAUAUUUUUAUUGUUCAUAUAAUUUAUAAAGGAAUUUUUUAUAGUGGUCAUGAUGCAAUGUGUGAUGAUGAGUUCUACAACUUAUAUGUAAAUUAUAAGUCAUCAUAUUCAUGGUAAUCUUAUUCUACAUAUGGUUUUUCCAUCUAUAUAAAUAUAAAUGAAGCUAUCAUUUCAUUUUUCUUUUCCAAGGAAUUUAAGCUUACUCUACCUGAAAAAUGUUGGAAAGAAAUACAUUUGAAAUUGAGUUUUGCCAAUAGUUGUUUGGUUGUAUUUUCAAAGAGUUGCAUACAAAUCUAUGAGUAGCAAACAUACAUGAGUUAUUAUUGACUACAUGAACUAAAAUAAUUAGAAAAUGAAGGGUAAAAUAUAAAGCUCUAUAAAUACUAGAUUUGACAUUAAUGAUAUCAUGUGCACCCCAUGUGCAUUAUAUUAUACAAAAAUUCUAAUAUUGCAAGAUUGAAUUCAAUGUCUUAAGGUCAUUCCAAUUACAUGUUCAAAAUUACAAAUCAAUACAGUUCAUAUGAUCAUAAAUAUCAAAUCUAGUAUUAAUAGAACUUUAUAUUUUACCUUUCAUUUUCUAAUUAUUUUUGUUCAUGCUGUCAAUAACAACCCAUGUAUGCCUGUUACUCAUAGAUUUGUAUGUAACUCUUUGAAAAUGCAACUAAAUGGUCAUCGACAAACCUAAAAUUAAAAUGUGUUUUUUCUCAAACUUUGUAACAUCGAGCAAGCUUCAAUUUCUUGAAAAAAGAAAAAGAAAUGAUAGCUUUAUUUAUAUUUAUACAUAUAGAAAGACCAUAUGUACAAUAAGAUUGCCAUGAAUAUAAUUACUUAUGAUAUACAUAUAAGUUGUACAACCCAUCACCAUAUGUUGCAUCAUGACCUCUAUCAGCAUGUUUUCCUUUAUAAAUUAUAUGAGCAAUAAAAUUAUACAUUGAAUGCAAUUUCGAUAAGGGUAUAUAAUCCUUUAGUCCUUUACGAAAAAUUCAACUAAAUAACAAUAUUAUAACACUAGUAGGGGUAUCCAGUAAAAAAUUAAAAAAAAAUAAUAAUUGAAGUUAUAAUAUUAACUGCAUGAAUAAGUCGAAGUAGGUUAUUUUCGAAGAGUUGCAUACAAAUCUAUGAGCAACAAACAUACAUGAGUUGUUAUUGACCGCAUGAACAAAAAUAAUUAGAAAAUGAAAGGUACAACAUAAAGCUCUAUUAAUAUUAGAUUUGAUAUUGAUGAUCAUAUGAAUUGUAUUGAUUUAUAAUUUUGAACAUGCAAUUGGAAUAACCUUAAGACAUUGAAUUUGAUCUUGCAAUAUUAGAAUUUUUGUAUGAUAUAAUGCACAUGAGGUGCACAUGGUAUCAUCAAUGUCAAUUAUAGUAUUUAUAGAGUUUUAUAUUUUACCUUUCAUUUUCUAACUAUUUUAGUUCAUGCGGUCAAUAGUAACUCAUGUAUAUUUGAAUCUUAUAGAUUUGUAUGCAACUCUUUGAUAAUGCAACCAAACAACUAUUGGCAAAACUCAAUUCCAAAUGUGCUUCUUUUCGACCUUCGACAUGCAGAGCAAACUUUAAUUCCUUAAAAAAAAUUAAAAAAAUGAAAUGAUAGCUUCAUUAAUAUUUAUACAAAUAGAAAGACCAUAUGUAGGAUAAGAUUAUUAUGAAUAUAAUGACUUAUAAUGUACAUAUAAAUUGUACAAUCUAUCAUCAUAUGUUGUAUCAUGACCUUUAUCAACAUGUUUUCUUUUAUGAAUAAUAAAAUUAUACAUUGAAUGCAGUUUCGAUAAUAAUAUAUAUAAUCCUUUAGUCCUUUAUAGGAAAUUCAACUAAAUAGCAAUAUUAUAACAUCAAAAGGGUAUUUAGUAAAAAAAUUCUAAAAAUCAAUUGAACUAGAAAAUAUCAAAACUAACAUAAGAUCGGGCUUAGGAGACAAAAGAUUUGGGUGGGAUGAGAAUGUUCUAGGUUUGAAAUAGAUUGUAAAAUUUUACCUCGCAACUCAUACAUAACCUACCAAUAGGCAUUAUCCCUUAUUGCAUAAUAGAGAUUUUCUACUAAAUCAUAAGGAAUUAUUUGUUUUACUAUAGGCUACUAGGUUUUCUAGGGGGCAAACAAAAUUUAUGUCAUAAUAUAACAAAAAACAAAGAAAUUGUUUAGGUAACAAUUUUACUCAAUUGUUACCCAAGUAGGAUUCCAAUCCAUAGAUGAUGAAUUUAGGAAUUCCCAAAUAUAUAUUGAGAACAUCACCACUUAUGUCAUAAGCAUAACUCAUAACUCUAUUCAUGAUGAUAUAAAUAAAUUGACAAACACUUUAUUAAAGAAAAAUAAAACCGUGCAAUGUGUGCAACAAAUAUGAAAUACUUAAAUUAUAAGGGGUUAAGAAUUGUUGCAACGAAUAUGAAAUGUUUAUAUUACAAGGGAUUAAGAAUGAUUACCAGCUAACAUAUAUAUAUAUAUAUAUAUAUAUAUAUAUAUAUAUAUAUAUAUAGUAAUGAACGAGCUCAAAAACCGAUGGGACAAACUGGAAGUCUACAAUUUAACCAUCAUAUAUCAAACUAAAAAAAAAAACAACCCAAGCCAUUUAUAGGGAAGAAUCAAGAGUAUGAGAGGGAGCAAAAUAGAGCAAAUAUAAUGCAAGCUUAAGCACAACAAAUCCAACCAUCAACGCUCAAGAUUAGCAACAACGAGGAAAGAAACAUCGAGAAAUCUAAAGCAGAAGUGUCUGUAGUGGUCAUACCUGGGCUUUUCAAGUGGAAAUGGUUCAACUCUUUCUCUUCCCCAAAGCUUGCACCUUUCAGCUCAGAAAAAAAAAAAAAAAUACUUCCUACACCAAAAAACACCACUACCCUAGUAAAAAAAAACUUCCUUAUUUGGCAAUGGAAUCUCCUUGCCUCGAAAUAUCUUCCCACAGCCCAUAAGAAAAAAAACCUCCCGCAGGCAAAAUCAAAGGCACCCACACUGCAGCUCCCUCCCCUCUCUAAUCACUCUGCCCCCUUAGCUGCCCAGAAACAUCCUCCAUUCUCCCUUGCUUCUCCUCUCUAUCACAGAAAAACGCUUCCUAUCUCCUAACCCACACGUCCAAAAAGCAACCUCUCCUCCUGUAGCUGCCAGACGCUCCUCCAUAACGGCCUUAAGAUUCCAUAAUAGGUGUCCAUUUUUCAUUGCUCCUCAAUUCCACUACCUGAUUCUAUAGCAGCCAUCCACGAGCCGACAAGUGGCUCCAUGAGAGGCUUCCACCUGGUAAGAAUGAGUUGCUGGGAUAUGACAAAAAACCGAGCCCCAUAUGGGGGUCUACAACUAUGCCCCUCUUCGGUAGAGUUCACAAGUAUAAGGAAAAUGAACACCGGAAUGUUUAUAAAAUAAAAAAUAUUAAAAAGUAAAUAAAAUGUUUAUAACAAAAAACAUAUAAGUUAUAUAUAUAUAUAUAUAAAAUUUAAAUGGGUGAUAGGAAAUAUUAACUAAAUAAAAAUAUAUAAAAUAAAAAAUAUUAAAAAUUAUUAAGGAAAAAUAAAAACGUGUAAUGUAUGUGCAACAAAUAUGAAAUACUUGAAUUAUAAGGGAUUAAGAAUGGUUGCAACGAAUAUGAAAUGCUUAUAUUACAAGGGAUUAAGAAUGAUUAUCAACUAACACGUACAUAUAUAUAUAUAUAAUUUAAAUGGGUGAUAAAAAUAACCAAUUUAAAUGGGUGAUAGGAAAUAUUAACUAAAUAAAAAUAUAUAAAAUAAAAAAAAUAUUAAAAAGUAAAUAAAAUGUUUAUAACAAAAAACAUACAAUUUUGUGGGCUAAUGUGGUGUUAAAAAACAAUUAUACGUUGUCCAAAUUCUACAUAACUAUGAUAGCCAUCCAACGCAUAUUGCUUAUCCAAAGUUUCCAUAAUAUCAUAGGAACGAAAUUCUCUAUCAUUUGGAUGUACUGUUUUCAAAGUUACCAACCUAAAAUGGUUUCACUAUAAGUAUAACUCAUAACUCUAUUCACGAUUAUAUAAAUAAAUUGACAAACACUUUAUUAAGGAAAAAUAAAAACGUGCAAUGUGUGUGCAAUAAAUAUGAAAUACUUAAAUUAUAAGGGAUUAAGAAUUGUUGCAACGAAUAUGAAAUGCUUAUAUUACAAGGAAUUAAGAAUUAUUACCAACUAACCUAUAUAUAUAUAUAUAUAUAUAUAAUUUAAAUGGGUGAUAAAAAUAACCAAUUUAAAUGGGUGAUAUGAAAUAUUAACUAAAUAAAAAUAUAUAAAAUUAAAAAAUUAAAAAGUAAAUAAUAUGUUUAUAACAAAAAACUUACAAGUUGGUGUUGUUGGAUCUAAUCUUGUAGGCUAAUGUGGUUUUCAAAAACAACUAUAUGUUGUCCAUAUUCUACAUAACUAUGAUAAUCAUCUAACACAUACUGCUUAUCCAAAGUUUUCGUAAUAUCAUAUGAACGAAAUUCUCUAUAAUUUGGAUGUACUAUUUUCAAAGUCACCAACCUAAAAUAGUUUCGCUAUAAGUAUAACUCAUAACUCUAUUCACGAUGAUAUAAAUAAAUUGACAAACACUUUAUUAAGAAAUAAUAAAAACGUGCAAUGUGUGUGCAACAAAUAUGAAAUACUUAAAUUAUAAGGGAUGAAGAAUUGUUGCAACGAAUAUGAAAUGCUUAUAUUACAAGGAAUUAAGAAUUAUUACCAACUAACAUAUAUAUAUAUAUAUAUAUAUAUAUAUAUAUAUAUAUAUAUAUAUAUAUAUAUAUAUAUAUAUAUAAUUUAAAUGGGUGAUAGGAAAUAUUAACUAAAUAAAAAUAUAUAAAAUAAAAAAAUAUUAAAAAGUAAAUAAUAUGUUUAUAACAAAAAACUUACAAGUUGGUGUUGUUGGAUCUAAUCUUGUAGGCUAAUGUGGUUUUUAAAAACAAUUAUACAUUGUCCAUAUUCUACAUAACUAUGAUAGUCAUCCAACACAUACUGCUUAUCCAAAGUUUCCGCAAUAUUAUAGGAAUGAAAUUCUAUAUCAUUUGAAUGUACUGUUUUCAAAGUCACCAACCUAAUAUACUUUCGCUAUAAGUAUUACUCAUAACUCUAUUCACGAUGAUAUAAAUAAAUUGACAAACACUUUAUUAAGGAAAAUUAAAAACGUGCAAUGUGUGUGCAACAAAUAUAAAAUACUUAAAUUAUAAGGGAUUAAGAAUUGUUUCAACGAAUAUGAAAUGCUUAUAUUAUAAGGAAUUAAGAAUGAUUACCAACUAACAUAUAUAUAAUUUAAAUGUGUGAUAAUAAUAACCAAUUUAAAUGCGUGAUAGAAAAUAUUAACUAAAUAAAAAUAUAUUAAAUUAAAAAACUAUUAAAAAGUAAAUAAAAUAUUUAUAACAAUAAACAUACAAGUUGGUGUUGUUGGAUCCAAUCUUGUAGGUUAAUGUGGUGUUCAAAAACAAUUAUACGUUGUCUAGAUUUUACAUAACUAUGUGUAGACCCCCAUUUUGGGGAGCUGUGAUUUUUCUCACGUUUCCUUUCUUGCAGCUAGCUGUGGCCAGAUGUCACCAUCCUAGGAGUCCACAUGCUGUCCUGAGAUUGGCUGUUGUGGAAUCAAAAUAGUGGUUUUAAGAGCUAAUGAGAAGGUGACACGGGGUGUGAGGGAAUCUGCAAAAGCUGCAGACCGUUUUGCCAGCUGUAGGGAGGAGCGGAUGAGAGAGGGAGAUGCUUUUCCAUUAGGGGGGGCUGCAGAGCUUUUUUGGGGAGGAGAGGAGCUUUUGUUUGGUUACUUUGGGUAGAGAGGAGAUCCGAGAGCUGUUAGUAGAGAGCUUGGAGAGGUUGGAGAGAAGGAUUUCUGGAGAGCAACUAGGGAGGAUGAGGGUUCAGUUGGAGGUAGAGGGUAUUCCUGCAGACGCCCCUUCACCAGCAGUCCCUGAUCUUAUUGAUUUGGGCGAUUGACUCAUGAUUGGCUUACCUUGGUACAGCGGCGUUCAGAUUUUGUUCCUUCUGUGGCCAGAGAUGUGAUGACAGGACCAGUCACUGUUUUUUUGUUUGUUUAGUCUUGUUUUACUUUUGACAUUUAGAGACUAUAACUCGAUUCUUGAGUAUUGUCUUUGUUGUCUUUCUUUUACAUGAUGUACUCAUCGGAUUAUCCCAUUGGAUGCAUUUUCCUUUAUGGACAUGUGUUUGUGUUUUGUGAUAUGAUGUGUUGUACUUUUGACUUGGGGCAUCUUUUCACUUGCAUAUUGUGGUCUUGAGGCUUGACCUAUCAUGGAGGAUAUUGAGCCUAUUAGCCUAGGAUCAAAGAUUUGACUUAGGGAGUUCGAGACUGUGACACAUCUUCUUAUGAUCAGAGUCAUACCUUGCUCACUUCCCGCACCUUGACUUUGUUUUGAUCUGCAUCCAUCCGUUAUGAGCUUUGCACAACAUCACCCUUGAGACCAUUACAUGACCUUUUCUAUCAUCGGUUUUUCUAGAUUUUCACCUCCCCUCUCUGAUUCGACUAGGUAGAGUGUGAGAAGUUUGAGCCCAGGGUUGAUUUCGCAUGGCGAGGGUUGGCUUAUGAUCUUUGGAUGGCUUACGAUGUGAGGAUUGGUCGAUUGCUUGAUGAGAUUGUCACUUAUUUUGCCGUGAGUAUAGAGAUUGAUAUUGUAUGAUGAGAGUUGGCUUGUGAUGAGCAGUAUUGCUUGAUGAGAUCAUCGUUUACUUUGCUUGAUGAGUACGGUUGAUACAUGAUUCUAAAGGGUUGAUGUGGUUAUACCAGAUGGACAUCGAUAUUUAGUAUUGAUCAUUUGAGGGCCUGAGAGCACGAUGUUUGAGACCGUGGUCGCAGGAUGGGUGGCCUUCAUUUCGGUUAGCUCAUACCUUAUUACCUUUAUUGACAUCAUAGUCCGUUGUUAGCCCUUUCAGCCUCUCAUGAGCAUCAUAGCCUUUUCUUUCUUAUAGCCUUGCUCACCUUCUACGCCGGGAUAGGGGCCCUUCAGUGUAUGCAUGCAUUGUUUAGGAGUUUCAUGAGCCUUGGACCGAGGGGCACAUCUUUCUCAUUAUAUUUUCCUAUCAUUGCGUCAUUGCAUUUCGUCACAUCUCGUUGGUUCUUCAUCCUCUUCUUUAUUAUAUCUAUUGUUUGUUCUGCUUCAUCUUCUCCCACCCCGAGUGGUGAUCAUCCUCAGUUCAUUACAUGGAGGGUAGUCAUGUCAUUUUCCACUAUCUAUCCUACGGACGUUGAUCCAGGGAUCCUUGGCUUGAGAGGGUCACAUUAUUAGAGAGAGUUUGUGAUAUAUUGAUAUUUGAGGGCAUGCUUAUUCAUUUUUUAUCCCGUCUUUGGGUCUUUCUUGGUUUGCUUUAGAGCAUGUAUAUUUGUAUAUAUGUAAAAAAAAAAAAAAAGAAAAAAGAAAAAAAGAAAAAAGAAAAGAGGCACAUGUGUGUAUUAUUCUCUAUCAUUGAGUAUGUGUAUAUUAGUGUUCGAGGGGUCGCUUUGUUGGAUAUGUCUAUUGAUGGGAGUUCGUAUGUGAGCUCCUCGGGACCUUUCAUUCUUCGUAUUCAUUUUGUUGUAUGUUUUGAGAGUGAGAUGAGUGGCCUUCUCUUAGGAGCUCUGGGUCAUUGUCCAUUCCAUCAUUGUGUUCGUUAUUGACGUGACCUCCUUUCAUAUUUGAUUUGAGCAAAUCAUCACUUGUUCUCAUAUUUUAUGCUUCAUCAUCAUCCUCGUUUUCACUUCUGUUUUAUCAUUUUUCAUUCCACCCCUUAUUCCAUUCUUACAGUGACCUCAUUUUCGGGUUUGAUACCCUCUUCGCGCCAUCAUUAUACAUCUCGUCAUCAGUUCGAUUUUUCUUCAUUGCAUC
Molecule: long non-coding RNA, 26915 nt
Filed under: Vitis vinifera (wine grape)
Lineage: Eukaryota; Viridiplantae; Streptophyta; Magnoliopsida; Vitales; Vitaceae
Description: long non-coding RNA (VVIN_LNC004750)
Rfam family: MIR845_2 microRNA precursor family (bases 12127-12257)
Source: RNAcentral